This 250-nucleotide long non-coding RNA is filed under the name Mytilus galloprovincialis (Mediterranean mussel). Lineage: Eukaryota; Metazoa; Mollusca; Bivalvia; Mytilida; Mytilidae. The record is from RNAcentral.
CUUUUUGAAACCAUUCUUAUCAAUUUUCAUUUUCCAUUGUCUAAAUUGUUCAUUGUUCAUGUUGUAUCCUAUAUAUAUGUUUCACUGCCCAUGUGCUGCGGUUUCCGUUUAUUUUAGCCGCUCGUCUUGAGCCUACCCAUUUGAUUCGAUCACACCCAAUAUAGCAAUAAAAUUAUACUUUAUUGCCAUUCAUUACUCUUAACAGACCAAUUAACAGACCGGGUUUUAUACAUCCGACCCAUUAACAGAC